UCGGCUUGGCGGCCGGGGGUGAUGGAUGGGCACAAAAACGGAAUCAGAGGAACUCCAGGAACACGGUGCUGGCAUCGGCUUGUCCGGCUGUGCACAUUACAGCCAGUGGAGGCGGUGGCCGACGGCGACAUUGCGGUGAAUGGCGCUACGGGUUCCAAAACCCAAAAUCGAUUUAUGGGAAUUGUAGAUUAUGUGUCGAGUUCAGAUGCCUAAGGAAUUCGUUUAUACCUUGCCGGAAACAGAGAAAUCGAUGCGGUGGGCGUUGGCCGGAGUUGGAGAACUCGUCGAAAUUCCUACACCGUGAUCAAUGGAACUCUAAAUUGAUGGAGGCGUACUGCUCCUAGUGGUUUGGAGAUGCUCCAGUGCGAGGGAAUUUGGUGCAGGUUAUGCAUGCUUCAGUGCUCUGAGUUGAUUGAGGUGCUCAUGAAGCCAUGCUUCCUUUUCUGCUCGUUUGGGAACUGGAAGUUUGCAGAGACCAUUCUUCGAUGAAAUAGUUGAACAGAUGUAGAUCUGCUUGCCCAGAUUGUAAGGUAAAUGAUUUAAACCAAAUAGAGGUCUAAUCAUUUUGCAAAGAAUUGGUAUUCUGCCAUUUUUCUGACCCUCACCCCGUGCCUUUCCAGAGAUAGGAUGCCUUUCGAGAACAGAGAGAGAUCAGCUCGAGGGGAUGGAGAGGAGAAGCUGAAGGGGAGGUGGAAGAGGAAUAUCUGGUGUUGAGGGGG
Molecule: long non-coding RNA, 719 nt
Filed under: Brachypodium distachyon (stiff brome)
Lineage: Eukaryota; Viridiplantae; Streptophyta; Magnoliopsida; Poales; Poaceae
Description: long non-coding RNA (BDIS_LNC002646)
Source: RNAcentral